CCCUUAGAUGUCCUGGGCCGCACGCGCGCUACACUGAACGGAUCAGCGCGUUUUCCCUUCCCGAGAGGGACGGGUAACCUGCUGAACCCCGUUCGUGGUAGGGAUCGGGGCUUGCAAUUAUUCCCCGUGAACCAGGAAUGCCCAGUAAGUGCAAGUCAUAAGCUUGCGUUGAUUACGUCCCUGCCCUUUGUACACACCGCCCGUCGCUACUACCGAUUGAACGUUUUAGUGAGGUACUCGGACUGAGCCUCAGAAGAUUCACGUCUUUUGUGCUGCUCGGGAAGAUUCCCAAACUUGAGCGUUUAGAGGAAGUAAAAGUCGUNACA
Molecule: ribosomal RNA, 326 nt
Filed under: uncultured eukaryote
Lineage: Eukaryota
Description: partial 18S ribosomal RNA
Rfam family: Eukaryotic small subunit ribosomal RNA
Source: RNAcentral